GCGGACGUGGUGUACGGUGCACGGCCCAGCAUCCUGCUGGACGUUGACGAAAUUUGAUGGGCAGGUCGGGGUUCGAUUCCCCGUGUUCGCA
Non-coding RNA from Mycena galericulata, 91 nucleotides. The record is from the annotation of a GenBank genome assembly. Lineage: Eukaryota; Fungi; Basidiomycota; Agaricomycetes; Agaricales; Mycenaceae.